UCCGACUCCUCGCAUGGGGUGUCGGGAAAGAUUUCAUCGGUAUGGGAUGGGGUCGCGUCCUAUCAGGUAGUCGGCGGGGUAACGGCCCACCGAGCCUACGACGGGUAGCCGGCCUGAGAGGGCGACCGGCCACAUUGGGACUGAGAUACGGCCCAGACUCCUACGGGAGGCAGCAGUGGGGAAUAUUGCACAAUGGGCGCAAGCCUGAUGCAGCGACGCCGCGUGCGGGAUGACGGCCUUCGGGUUGUAAACCGCUUUUGAUCGGGAGCAAGCCUUCGGGUGAGUGUACCUUUCGAAUAAGCACCGGCUAACUACGUGCCAGCAGCCGCGGUAAUACGUAGGGUGCAAGCGUUAUCCGGAAUUAUUGGGCGUAAAGGGCUCGUAGGCGGUUCGUCGCGUCCGGUGUGAAAGUCCAUCGCUUAACGGUGGAUCUGCGCCGGGUACGGGCGGGCUGGAGUGCGGUAGGGGAGACUGGAAUUCCCGGU
RNAcentral lists this ribosomal RNA (485 nucleotides) under Bifidobacterium pseudocatenulatum. RNAcentral describes it as "bacterial SSU rRNA". It matches the Rfam family "Bacterial small subunit ribosomal RNA", at positions 173 to 674 of the family's 1533-position model. Lineage: Bacteria; Bacillati; Actinomycetota; Actinomycetes; Bifidobacteriales; Bifidobacteriaceae. The record is from RNAcentral.